RNAcentral lists this long non-coding RNA (4528 nucleotides) under Nicotiana tabacum (common tobacco). RNAcentral's name for it is "long non-coding RNA (NTAB_LNC009583)". Lineage: Eukaryota; Viridiplantae; Streptophyta; Magnoliopsida; Solanales; Solanaceae. The record is from RNAcentral.
UUGAAUCAAGUAUGGUGUAAAAUUUUAUAAUUGUAUUAAGGUUGAAACUAUUGUUAAAAUGAAAUAAUACCUACAAUUGUAUUUGUAUGUAUCAAAUUAAAAUUCUGAAUUAUUUGUAUGCACGUACAUGUGCAUACACACGGAUCUAGCAUAUAGAACUAGACUAGUAUUGCAUGCCCGUGCUACAGGAAUUUUGAAUACCCUUUGAGAAUAAAUUGAAUUAUCACAACACAAUAAAAGAUAUUUUAUGUAUUAACUUCAGUUUUGAGUGCAACUUGAGAGUGUAUAAACUGAAUAUAUCUUCUAGAGUUGGCGAAAGACUGUUUCAUUUCAACGCAACUUCCUACCAUUCGAUGAGAACUUGGGAUGAAAAGAGUAAAGCUUUUUCCGCUUGUGACAUAGUGGACCUGCAAAAUAUGAACUCUGUCAAUGCCAACUUCAAACACUAAAGCUGAAAAUGUCGAAAAGUGGAAAAUGAUUCCAAUAAAAACAUAGCUUACACCCAGAAAAAGAAAUUGAAGUCCUUAAAGCAUCAUCCUCCUUUUUACUCUAUUGCCCAUGUAAAUCCAAAUUUAACUCAACCGACACGUAGUCUAUCAAACAAAUAUAACGCAAAAAGUAGAAUAAAAAACUUAAAAAGUUUUAAAAUCGAAUAAUAAUGCAUAUAUGGGAGAGACAACAAAAGCAUAAUUCUCCCUUUGAGGGAACAUGCUCUUCAAGUUGGUCAAAAUAGCCAAGUUACCGUUAAAAACGUACACAACCAAAGUAUGAGCAAUUGUGAGCAGCUCGAGAUUCUAUACAAUCCAAAUAAGAAAGGAAGUAUAGAAACUCCAGCAGAACUUACAUAGGCAGAGUCCCAAUCAAAAUUUGAUGGUAAUCAGGGGCGGCGGCUCAACCCUAAGGCAACUAAAGCCAAGGCUUUAGGCCCCAAAAAUAUAGGGCCCCAAAUAUUAUUCAUAUUAUAUAUAUAACAAAUAUAUUUUAAAUAAUUACUCCGAUAUUCUUUAUAAUAGUUAAUAAAUCUUUUGAUCAACCAUACAUUUGCUAUGUCAAUAAUCCUUAUGGCCUAGUCCAAACAUUAUGCUAUUUUUGAGGGCUAAUUAGUUGAGCUAUAAUAAAUAAAUGACAUGCACUUAAAUAACUUCCUCCUUCAUUAUUCUUAUUCUCUUCAACUUGGAUUAAUUUUCAUUUUACAAUAGCUUCUGUACAUACCUUGAGCUAAUUAGCUCCAUAUUGAUUUUUGGAUUUAUUUUAUAACAAAAGCACGUACUACCACAAACUCCAAGUAAAAGAUAAUACUUUAAUUGAUAUACUCAAUGAAAUAAAAGAUUUAGUUCUUUUUCCACAUGCCUAUAUAAUAUUGCUCAUAAAAAAAUAAAGACAUUUCCCCCGAGGGGAAGAUAUUUUUCGAAAGUAAAAUUAACAAAACUUUACCUAAGAGCAACAAUAUCUCAAGAAUAAUUAAAUAAAUUGGCUAUAUUAUCAAUUAGGAAGAAAAUAUUAGAAGAAGUUGAUGGUAAAAUAUAAUUAAUAUAUUUGCCUCUAAAGGCCUCUAAUAACGAUUUACCUUUAGGCCCCCUACUCCAUCGAGCCGCCACUGAUGGUAAUGACCCCUUUACUUAAUAAUUAAAAGAAAAUACAAAUAGCAUUAAACUCUUUCUUUUGUAUGUUCCUUUAUUCUAUAAAACCACAGAAGAAAAAGUAUAUCAUAUGUAAAGGAUUUGAACACUGAUUGAGGCAGCACGUAUAUUUAUAGGAUCAGGCCCUAACUAAUUCCUGGCAGAGGAAAACUUAGCAAUGUCGGGAAAAAAUAACUUAGUGUUGUAAGAAAAAUUUAUCUUACUGAGUUUUGAGCCAUUGAAGAUAAAAUAAUAUUAUUCUCAUCAAAGUUAUCAAAUAGAAUGGAGAAUAGUUAUAUUUGGUCAUGACCAGGAGAAAAGAGGAAAAUUGAAAAAUUUUAGAGAACUCUUAAGAUAUUCCACCUUAUCUUAUUUGCAUAAAAAUCAUCCAUCCUUGUUGGAACUGCUAGUUCUAACUUACUCUCGAAACACUUGUUUGAGAUUCCAAAGAAAAAUUAGAUGUAAUAUGUUGGAUUUCAGAAUACAACAAAAUAAAAUUGACUUGCAAACAGCUUGUUCAUCUGUUUCCACAAACAAUUUUAAAAAAAUCUAAAAUAAGUACACACGCAAGUUAAUAAUCAAUAGAACAACAAAAAAAGUAUUUGGAAAUAAGAAAAACAAUGAUGUGUGUGAGUUUGGAGAGGAGGCAACUUUGGAAUCCUCAUUUACCUUCAAACUCCAUGCUUCCAAUGUGAAACUGAUUCCUCUGUGAUCUUCUUUAGCUUAUAACCUGAUUCUAACUGAUGUCCUUGAUAUAUUGCACACUGCUUUGUCUUACAAGUGAGAAAAGAAGACUACACACGACAACAACAACAAUAACAACAACAACAACAACUCAGUGUAAUUCCACAAGUGGGGUCUGGGGAGGGUAAUAUGUACGCAGACCUUACCUCUACCCCGAGGGGUAGAGAGGCUGUUUCCAGGAGACCCUCGACUCAAAGAGGCAACAAGAGACAUUAUAUUAGUAAUAUCAAUAGACUCAUAAUAAAACAACAUAAAAUAUCAUACGACAAUGAUGAAAUCAAAAUUAACAUAACUUAAUCCAGAAAAAGACAACUAAUUCACACACUAAAUUAUUGAACAUCAGAUUAAUAAAAAUAAAUCAUUUGGGAAAUAUUUCCACAAUCUUUUUUUUUUAAAAAAAAAAAGGAAAUGGAAAAAGAGUUGUAAAGUCGUUUAAAUUGAUUUACGCUGAAAAAAGUGAUUAUGUAGAAAAUUGUAAAAAGAUUGUGAGCCAGAAAAAAAAUCACACACAACAUAUAUACAUGAUGGCCAAAAAAUAAUUCCACACGCAUGCGAGGUACAAUAAGCUUAAAAUGGGUUAAGUCUAAAAGCUAAGGAAUAUCACCCAAGCUCACUGCAAACUAUAGUAUGCGGAUGGAAUCGAGACAACUCCAAAAUAAUCAGGAACAAAAAGCAAAAAUCCAACAUCUAGAUGUUCUACAUUUCAUAUUACCACAGAACAUGAAAAUCCACCGAUCAAGAUUUUUAUUCAUAGGGAAUAUGAAGCUAAUCAGAAAACUGGAGGGUAGAACUAUUACUGCAAAAUAUCAAUAGCAUAGAGCUUUUAGGAGUGAAGUAAUAGGCUUAAUCAGAUUAAUUUUAGGCCAAGAUAUCUUGAAAACAAAGGCAAAAUUAUUGAGAAGAAAAGGAUCAGUCAAUUUGCCUUCGAAGCUCAACAAAGACUUAUCAACAAUCCUAUAAGAACAUUCAAAUUAAGUCAAUCCAAUUCCAAAUUCAUUAUUGCAUAAAACCAGGGCAUUAACAGUAAAUUGUCCAUUCAGAUUGUUUAUAUUCCUUUAACAAUGGGUUCUAUUUUUCAUGGAUUUUCCUUUGAUAGAGGAGCAUAAGAAUCAUUUUGUUUUUCCAAGCAUAUCAUCAAACACCUUAAUUGCAUCAACUGCGGAAAAAUCAAAGUUUGCAGUGGGGUGUCUCAAUUUUGUAGCGACAAUUUGUCAUACCUCAGUCUUUUGAAAAAUACAUGAAUAAAUCGAUAGUAUCUUUGUUGCCACACAUUUCUAUUCCAAACACUUUAUAGUUUUGUAUAAUUUAAUCUAAUAUUUUUAGGUUGGUAUGAAUCUGAAAAUACAUAUAUCUAUAUCUAAUUUUUCUUGCUAAUACAAAGUAAGACAAAUAGUAACAAAAAUAUAGAUGGAAGAAAUGGUCUGAUUUAAGAGUAUUUCUAUAAGUGCACACUUGAAAAAAAGAAGAGAAAAACAAAGCUUUGAUAGAAGGUAAGCACAUGCAGAAAGUCAAAAGAUUUUGUUGAUUAAGACAUUAACAAACACCUACAAUGUAUCAGUGUGCAAAGGUUGACAUGCAUGUGAAAAUUCAGCACUGAAAUAUCCGAACAAAUAGAGACUGGAAUAUCCAAACAAAUAGAGAAGCUGCUGGACAACCACCAAGAUUUCAGGGAAAUAACAGAGUAAAGCUGACAAGAACUGAAAAAAUAGAGCACAUAGAGAUAUUAUGGAACUCAAAAUGAGAAAUUUAGGAAUUCUGGAAGAAUCCAAGAGACACUUACCAGAAAGAGCAGAGCAAAAAUAAGAUGGAAGCAAAGAAGGAGGUGGAAAGAAAGAAGACGACUGGUGCUUCUAGAUUGUACAUUAGAGGAAUAGCGCCAAAGUAGUUGCACAAUAAGAAUCCAGCAUCAGCAUCCCUCCACUACAAUAUGCUUUUGUACCCUGAAUCAAGUCGUUUUGGGUUUACCUCCAAGUAGAUGAUUCAAACAAAACUACUCUUUUUAUGUUAAAUAAUAUUCAGUAUGGACUCUAUGGAAUUAAGCAAAUAACCAGAAAUGAAACAGAAUGAAAUACAUGAGGAUUUGUUUUCAAAUAUCACUUUAUAGUUUUCUAAUGGGAAAGUUCGAAUCCAAGAAAUAAUUCCUAUAAGGCAAAAGAGGCCUUACA